RNAcentral lists this ribosomal RNA (460 nucleotides) under uncultured bacterium. RNAcentral's name for it is "partial 16S ribosomal RNA". It matches the Rfam family "Bacterial small subunit ribosomal RNA", at positions 338 to 795 of the family's 1533-position model. The record is from RNAcentral.
CCUACGGGUGGCAGCAGUGAGGAAUAUUGGUCAAUGGACGAGAGUCUGAACCAGCCAAGUAGCGUGAAGGAUGACUGCCCUAUGGGUUGUAAACUUCUUUUAUAUGGGAAUAAAACAUGGUAUGCAUACCCUCUUGUAUGUACCAUAUGAAUAAGGAUCGGCUAACUCCGUGCCAGCAGCCGCGGUAAUACGGAGGAUCCGAGCGUUAUCCGGAUUUAUUGGGUUUAAAGGGAGCGUAGGAGGAUUGUUAAGUCAGUUGUGAAAGUUUGGGGCUCAACCGUAAAAUUGCAGUUGAAACUGGGAGUCUUGAGUAGGGUAGAGGUAGGCGGAAUUCGUGGUGUAGCGGUGAAAUGCGUAGAUAGCACGAGGAAUACCGAUGGCGAAGGCAGCUCCCUGGACGACGACUGACGCUGAUGCUCGAAAGUGUGGGGAGCAAACAGGAUUAGAUACCCGGGUAGUC